UUUUAUGGAGAGUUUGAUCCUGGCUCAGGAUGAACGCUGGCGGCGUGCCUAAUACAUGCAAGUCGAGCGAACGGACGAGAAGCUUGCUUCUCUGAUGUUAGCGGCGGACGGGUGAGUAACACGUGGAUAACCUACCUAUAAGACUGGGAUAACUUCGGGAAACCGGAGCUAAUACCGGAURAUAUUUUGAACCGCAUGGUUCAAAAGUGAAAGACGGUCUUGCUGUCACUUAUAGAUGGAUCCGCGCUGCAUUAGCUAGUUGGUAAGGUAACGGCUUACCAAGGCAACGAUGCAUAGCCGACCUGAGAGGGUGAUCGGCCACACUGGAACUGAGACACGGUCCAGACUCCUACGGGAGGCAGCAGUAGGGAAUCUUCCGCAAUGGGCGAAAGCCUGACGGAGCAACGCCGCGUGAGUGAUGAAGGUCUUCGGAUCGUAAAACUCUGUUAUUAGGGAAGAACAUAUGUGUAAGUAACUGUGCACAUCUUGACGGUACCUAAUCAGAAAGCCACGGCUAACUACGUGCCAGCAGCCGCGGUAAUACGUAGGUGGCAAGCGUUAUCCGGAAUUAUUGGGCGUAAAGCGCGCGUAGGCGGUUUUUUAAGUCUGAUGUGAAAGCCCACGGCUCAACCGUGGAGGGUCAUUGGAAACUGGAAAACUUGAGUGCAGAAGAGGAAAGUGGAAUUCCAUGUGUAGCGGUGAAAUGCGCAGAGAUAUGGAGGAACACCAGUGGCGAAGGCGACUUUCUGGUCUGUAACUGACGCUGAUGUGCGAAAGCGUGGGGAUCAAACAGGAUUAGAUACCCUGGUAGUCCACGCCGUAAACGAUGAGUGCUAAGUGUUAGGGGGUUUCCGCCCCUUAGUGCUGCAGCUAACGCAUUAAGCACUCCGCCUGGGGAGUACGACCGCAAGGUUGAAACUCAAAGGAAUUGACGGGGACCCGCACAAGCGGUGGAGCAUGUGGUUUAAUUCGAAGCAACGCGAAGAACCUUACCAAAUCUUGACAUCCUUUGACAACUCUAGAGAUAGAGCCUUCCCCUUCGGGGGACAAAGUGACAGGUGGUGCAUGGUUGUCGUCAGCUCGUGUCGUGAGAUGUUGGGUUAAGUCCCGCAACGAGCGCAACCCUUAAGCUUAGUUGCCAUCAUUAAGUUGGGCACUCUAAGUUGACUGCCGGUGACAAACCGGAGGAAGGUGGGGAUGACGUCAAAUCAUCAUGCCCCUUAUGAUUUGGGCUACACACGUGCUACAAUGGACAAUACAAAGGGCAGCGAAACCGCGAGGUCAAGCAAAUCCCAUAAAGUUGUUCUCAGUUCGGAUUGUAGUCUGCAACUCGACUACAUGAAGCUGGAAUCGCUAGUAAUCGUAGAUCAGCAUGCUACGGUGAAUACGUUCCCGGGUCUUGUACACACCGCCCGUCACACCACGAGAGUUUGUAACACCCGAAGCCGGUGGAGUAACCUUUUAGGAGCUAGCCGUCGAAGGUGGGACAAAUGAUUGGGGUGAAGUCGUAACAAGGUAGCCGUAUCGGAAGGUGCGGCUGGAUCACCUCCUUUCUAA
Molecule: ribosomal RNA, 1557 nt
Filed under: Staphylococcus aureus
Lineage: Bacteria; Bacillati; Bacillota; Bacilli; Caryophanales; Staphylococcaceae
Description: 16S ribosomal RNA
Rfam family: Bacterial small subunit ribosomal RNA
Source: RNAcentral